RNAcentral lists this ribosomal RNA (254 nucleotides) under uncultured bacterium. RNAcentral describes it as "partial 16S ribosomal RNA". It matches the Rfam family "Bacterial small subunit ribosomal RNA", at positions 524 to 776 of the family's 1533-position model. The record is from RNAcentral.
UACAGAGGUCCCAAGCGUUGUUCGGAUUUACUGGGCGUAAAGGGCGCGUAGGCGGCCACCGCAAGUCGAUUGUGAAAUCUCCGGGCUUAACCCGGAAAGGUCAACCGAUACUGCGGGGCUAGAGUGCAGAAGGGGCAACUGGAAUUCUCGGUGUAGCGGUGAAAUGCGUAGAUAUCGAGAGGAACACCUGCGGCGAAGGCGGGUUGCUGGGCUGACACUGACGCUGAAGUGCGAAAGCUAGGGGAGCGAACGGG